This 299-nucleotide ribosomal RNA is filed under the name uncultured bacterium. Its description in RNAcentral is "partial 16S ribosomal RNA". It matches the Rfam family "Bacterial small subunit ribosomal RNA", at positions 334 to 629 of the family's 1533-position model. The record is from RNAcentral.
UUUUCCUACGGGGCGCAGCAGUGAGGAAUAUUGGUCAAUGGGCUUACGCCUGAACCAGCCAAGUCGCGUGAGGGAAGACUGCCCUAUGGGUUGUAAACCUCUUUUGUCAGGGAGCAACGCCGGCUACGUGUAGCCGGACUGAGAGUACCUGAAGAAAAAGCAUCGGCUAACUCCGUGCCAGCAGCCGCGGUAAUACGGAGGAUUCAAGCGUUAUCCGGAUUUAUUGGGUUUAAAGGGUGCGUAGGCGGUCGGAUAAGUUAGAGGUGAAAUCCCGAGGCUCAACUUCGGAAUUGCCUCUG